CCGGAGUCGACGGCCACAGGACUCCGAGGCACCCACCUGUCAUACAUUGAUGUCGGCCAUUCUGAGCAAGCAGCAGCCGCAGCACGUCGGAUUGGCUUUCUGCAUACUCUGGUCCAUCCUGUAAGCUUUCCGUGUUCAGGAAUAAUUUUCAGCUGCACCGCCUCAUUGGCCAUUGAAAUCCUCAAUUGAUUUGACUGUCGGAUGGGUUGAAAACACAAACAGACGCCAACAAGCGAAAGGGGAGCAGUCUGUGCCAUCACAGACAUCGCCCACAUCCUACGCAGUACAGGGCCACAGCCCGCAUUCCUGUUCCAC
RNAcentral lists this small RNA (315 nucleotides) under Histoplasma capsulatum. RNAcentral describes it as "hypothetical RNA". RNAcentral also lists the same sequence under 1 other name. The record is from RNAcentral. Lineage: Eukaryota; Fungi; Ascomycota; Eurotiomycetes; Onygenales; Ajellomycetaceae.